UUGACUACCAUCUCGAUGGUUAAGGAUGAUGGACAACAUGAGCUGCAGGAUCUUCCGGUUAUUGCAGAGUAUGAGGAUAUAUUUGUGACCUUUGGAAAGGCCACCACAUGACACAUGAGAAACUCUUGCGAUUUGUUUGGAGCAAACAACACCAGUUUCACAAGUUUUAUACCCAUUAGCACCAACAGAGAUGACAAAGCUGAAAGAGCAUGUUGAAGAUUCAUCAGACAAGGGUUUUAUCAGACCGGAUACUUUACCGUGGGGAACAUCAUCAUUGUUGUUGUAAAGAAGAAAGGUGGGAGUGUCAAUUUUGUAUCGACUACAAAGGUCUGAACAAAGUGACCAUUAAAGAUAAGUAUCGCUUCCGCGCAUUGAUGAAUUAUUGGAUUAUUUACAGGAAGUUUAUAGUUCUUGAAGGUUGACAUGGCAUCAGAACACCAUCAGAUUACUAUAUUUGAAGAGUAUCUACUGAAUGUAAAUUUUUGUAUACAUUAUGGAUAUUAUGGGACGCAGUGAUACCAUUUGGCUCGACAAAGGCACUGUUGCAUUCAUGAAGAUAUGAAUGACGUUUUCAUGAACAUUUGGAUAGGUGUGCGAUUGUAUUCAUCGAUGACAUCCUGAUUUAUUUUGGAGAAGAAAGGAGAUUUGUGAGCAUUUCGCGGAUUGCGUUGGAUAAGCCUGGAGAGCAUCAGUUGUUCGCUAAGUUGAGGAAGUGUAGCUUCUGGCAAAGGAAUGUUGUAUUUUUGGCUGACAUGGUUUUGGAAGCAGAAUUUUGAUGGAUCCAAAGAAGAUUAAUACCGUUUCGGGAAGGUCGAAACCUAAGAGCGCUACAAAGAUCUGCCGUUCUUUUUGGGUUAAUAGUGUACUACUGGAAGUUCAUCAAGGGUUUCCCCGGUAUAGUAAUGUUAAAGACGCGGUCUACAUGUAAAGACGUAAAGUGUGGCUGGAUAGAUUUUGUUCGAGGAGUUUCACUGAAUUGAAGCACAACUAAUGAAGACACCAGUUUUGGGUUCUACUGAGGCUGAGGCUUACUGUGAUGUGUCAGAUACUGGAUUGGAUUUAAAUUAAGGUAUGAGGAUUAAGUCAUUCAUAUGCAUCAUGCCAGAGAGGCUGUAGUGGUAUUUGCGUUAUAGUUUUGGAAAUCAUAAUUGUACGGGAAGGAAGUUUAGAUUCUCUGGGAUUAUUAGAAUGUGAAAUUUAUCUUCAUUUAUUAAAAACUUGUACUUGGACAGUGCAAUUGGAUUGAGUUUGUAGCAAGCUAUAGUUUGGAUAUCACAUACUAUCUGGUAAGGACAACCAGGUGAUAAAUGCCUUGGGUAGGCGUAUGAGCUGUAUCUCAGGAACCAAGAAGGUUCAUGAGUUUACUGGGAGAUUUGCUAGUCUCAGGUUGGGUGCCAUUACUAUCAAUGGAGAGACAGAUGUCCUUGAGGAUUGGAGCAUGCAGUUUUGCUAUGGAGGAUACGCAAGCACAAGUUAGCAUUGGAUUUGGUUGAACAGAUCGAGAUUGAGAGUAUUGGAUAUCAUACAGCUUUGAGCAGGAUAUACUUGUACCGGAACCGAGUUUGUGUGUUGGACGAUAAGUUGUUAAGAAAAAGAAUCUUACAACAAACAUAUCACUCGAGUUUCUCUACCCAUCGGGAACACCAAAGGGUACAAAGAUAUGAAGAGUUAACUAUAAUUGGUGUAGUGUGAAGAUGUUUGUAACUACAUUACGUCGCGGUGCCAGACAUGUUAUCGGGCAAUGACAGAGGAUCAGUUAUCUAUUAUGUUAUUUUUUGAGCUUGUUUUUGCCGGAGUGGAAAUGAGGCAUGGUGAUUAUGGACAUUGUUAUUGGAUUUUAAAUCACCAUAUGUGGAAAGGAUGCCACAUGGGUAGUCAUGGAUAGACUUACAAAGUCAGCCCAUUUCCUAAGUAAUUAAGAAGAUAAUCAGGGCUAAUCAAUUGGAGCAGACCUACAUUAUUGAGUUUGGGAAGUUUCAUGGAUGUCAACAUUGUAUCGGAUUGAGAAUCGAAGUUCACAUCUACAUUUCAGAGAGCCUUUCGGAAGGCACUUGGGACAAAGAUCAUAUGAGUACAUCUUAUCACCCGUUGACAUAUUGUCAGUCAGAGAGGACUAUUCAGACUUUGGAGGAUAUGCUCAGAGCUUGUGUUUUAGAUUGGGAAGGUAGUUGGGUGAAGUAUCUACCUCUAGCCGAGUUUGCCUACAACAACAGCUAUCAUUCGAGUAUUGGGAUGGCACCAUAUGAGGCUCUAUAUGGUAGGCCUUGUCGCACGCCACUUUGUUGGACGGAAGUGGGAGAACAACGUGAGAUAGAACCAGCCAUGGUUCAAGAGACAGUCGAACAGGUCGAGAUGCUCAAGAUGCGGCUUAAGGAAGCCCAUGACCGUCAGAAGAGUUAUGCAGAUAAACGGCGAAGAGAUUUGGAGUUUCAAGUUGGCGACCUAGUAUACCUGAAAAUGAGGACAUUUCAGGGAGGAUCUAAGACUCGGAAGCUAAAGAAGCUUAAACCAAGAUAUAUGGGACCAUAUCCUAUUUUGGAGCGGAUUGGAGCAGUUGCUUACCGACUAAAUUUAUCAGGAGAGUUAUCAGAUUUCCAUGACGUGUUUCAUGUUUCCGUUUUGAGGAAAGUAGUGAGAGAGCCAGAGCUCAUUUUGCAGCAACCACCUAGAAACCUUGGCAAAGGGUUACGUGGGUUGUGCCAGCCAGUAGAGAUAUUGGAUCGCCAAGUGAAAGCAGAUCGUGGAAUGAUGACCAUGUUGAUCAAGGUUCGUUGGGAGGGAGACGGAAUUCAGGAGGAUACCUGGGAGUCCGAGCCCCAAAUGAGGAUUGAUUAUCCAGAGCUGUUUCGGGAUGUCAUUGGAGAGUUUGGAGAUGUGAAUUCGGGGUCGAAUUCCUUGUUAGUGGGGGAGAAUUGUAAUGACCCACCUCCACUAUCCCCACUAUCUCCACCAUCUCCACCAUCCCCACCACUCCCACCAUCUCCACCAUCCCCAACUUCUUUAAAGAGAAAGAGAGAGAGAGGGAGAGAGAGAGAGAGAGAGAAAGAGAGAGAAAGCUCACCUGAGCUCGUCGCCGGAGCAACCGUGUGCCGUGAUCACGUUCAGCUUGCCACCACCGAUAAACGCCCUAGGUAACCGCCGAAAACCGCAUUUCUUAAGCUCAUUUUCGUUUCCGUUUAGUAAAUCACCCAUAACUUCCUAACCAUUGAUCAUCUCGUACAUCCAAGGCCAUCAUCGUGUUCCUCUCGUCGAGACGAAGCCGUAGACACCAACCACGCCUCAAACGGAGCCCGGACGAAGCCGCACGCGCCUCCCGAAGAUUCGCCUCGGCGCGCGCGUGAAACACACGCGCCACCGCCUUCCGCCGGAGCCACCGCGAGUUCCGGCCACGCGCCGCCGUCUCCGACCAACGUUCGCCGGAGCUGCCGUGACCGACCACCGUCCGUCCGCCGCCGAGAAGCCGCCGCCGCGUCGCCGCCUCGCCGCCGUCGCCGCCGUUGAUUUUCCGGUAAGCCGCCGGGGACCGACACCGGUGACUCGCCGGUGACUCGCCAACUCGGCCGAGUCAACCCGGUGAGUCAACUCGGUGACUCGGUCAACCUGUGGUUUGACCGGUUUAAAUCGAUUUCGAUUCGGUUAGGUUAAACCGGUCGGAUAAAAUCAAUUGGAAAUCGGUUAGGGAAAACCGGAUUAAUUAAUUAAUUAAUUAAAUAAUUAAUCUUUGACCAGCGGGUUGACUUUUCCGUAAAUACCCGUUUUAAACCGUUCGAAAGGCGUUCUGACUCGAAAUUUCGAUCUGAUUUCAGAUUUGGAGUCCAUUUGAGCAGCUGGAGUUCAUAGAUAUCUCUUAUUAUUGCUAAGGUGAGGGUCUAUUCCCGAACUCCUCUUAUUCGGCUUAGGACCUCGAAUAAGUAUAAUUUAUUUCUAAUGUGUGAAAUCGAGUCUGUCAUUGCUUGUUUAGUUUUAGGUUCUUUGCAUAAACCGGAACUAGGGGGUUAGAGGAUUCAACAUUGAUUGUUUCACUUAAUGUAAAUUCUUAGCUAGGAUUGUUUUUGUUUGGAGACGGAUACAGAGUCGGACUGCUGUAUGCCGGAUUGUAUGGAGGUCACGGCCAACUUUAGUCGACCGGUUGAGCCGUAGACUGGAAGUGUCGAUAAAUCGUCUACGGGCGUGUGUUACCGAGCACUUUUUCGGUGUGUGUAUGAACCGAGCACCUUUUCGGUAGUGUUUUGGCCUGUUAGUGGGCAGCGAGUGUGCACCUCGCUAGGACCAUUGUUUGUUGUUUGGGUACUUUAGGUACUGUGUUUGACAUGCAUUAUAAUUAAAUUAUAUUUAUUCGGAGUGCUAUGUCCGGGUCCAUGGACUUCGGGGUGGCAUUCCCUACCUCACUGAGCGAUUCCCCUGUCGCUCACCCCUCACUCUUCCCCCUUUCAGGUGAGACAAACAAGUAUGUGAUAUUUGGACGGACUUGGUGCUACUGGACUUUUCUUUCGGAUUUUAUUUGGGCAUGGGUGAGAGUUGUCGGGUUUAUGGGCUUUUAUAUUACGGGAUAUUGUUGGUGGCCCGUCGUCCUUAGUGUCAGGGAGACGGGUGUCACAUUGUUGUAUGAUGACGCGUCGGGGGUGACACGCUGUCCUCCAUAUAGGAGGUGACGGGUGUCACAAUCAUAUCUUUUUCAUUUCAUCUCAUUAAAAGCUACAACCUUUUCUACGUGUAUCCAUCAUCACCAUAUAAAAAAUCUAACAAUAUCUCUGAACGAAAUAGUGACAAUUCAUUAAUAUCCACGCAAAGCAACAAAAUAUCUCAUUUUAUGAAUUUGUAGUUGUCUUUGUCAAAUGUAGAUGAGCAUGAGCAGCCCGCAGUUCCACCACCCGCGGCUCCACCAGUUGAUCAGGAUGCAUUGAGACAGAUGGUUCAGGAUGCCGCUAGACAGGCCGCUCAGGAAGCACUUCAGCAGAUUGCCCAGGAGGCAGCCAGGCAGGCCGCUCAGGAGGCCGCCCGAGUAGCUGCUCAGGAGGUUGCUCGUCAGAUGGCUACCGUUCAGCAUAUGAGCCAUUGGUUGGCAUGUGUUGUUGUGUGUACGAGUAUAUUGACUAUUUUGGAGAUAUAUUUGUUUUGUGAACUCGUGGAGAUCGCUUUUGAAUUGGGGUGCAGCAGCUUGCGUUGUGUGGGUGUUGGAGUUACACUUUGGUAUGUUUACCAAUUUUGGCAGUGUUGAUCGUUUCAGAGAUGUGUCAGUUUGGACAACUGACAUAGGACAUUGGGAGCUAUUUAUAUUCAUCGCAGUGUACCAGUUAUGCUUGGAGGGCCGAUUUGUUCGGAUAUUCAUCAGAGAUGGAGCUACGUUUUUACGACGUUAUCCUUGGGACAGAUUGAUUGUCACGGCAUCAAGUAGUGUUGGAUUGCCUGAGGGCAAGAGUUCCGAUUGCUGGAGCAGAUGGAAGUUGUUAGUGCAUGCAUGCUACAUACUGAGGAGUUAUGGGAUACAAGGACAUAUAGAUUUUUGACUACCAUCUCGAUGGUUAAGGCUGAUGGACAACAUGAGCUGCAGGAUCUUCCGGUUAUUGCAGAGUAUGAGGACAUAUUUGUGACCUUUGGAACGGUCACCACAUGACACAUGAGAAACUCUUGCGAUUUGUUUGGAGCAAACAACACCAGUUUCACAAGUUUUAUACCGAUUAGCACCAACAGAGAUGACAAAGCUGAAAGAGCAUGUUGAAGAUUCAUCAGACAAGGGUUUUAUCAGACCGGGUACUUUACCGUGGGGAACAUCAUCAUUGUUGUUGUAAAGAAGAAAGGUGGGAGUUUCAAUUUUGU
RNAcentral lists this long non-coding RNA (5817 nucleotides) under Brassica napus (rape). RNAcentral's name for it is "long non-coding RNA (BNAP_LNC003941)". Lineage: Eukaryota; Viridiplantae; Streptophyta; Magnoliopsida; Brassicales; Brassicaceae. The record is from RNAcentral.